CGCUUCCGGGAGGGACAAGAGUAGGGAAUCUUCCGCAAUGGACGAAAGUCUGACGGAGCAACGCCGCGUGAGUGAUGAAGGUUUUCGGAUCGUAAAGCUCUGUUGUUAGGGAAGAACAAGUACCGUUCAAAUAGGGCGGCACCUUGACGGUACCUAACCAGAAAGCCACGGCUAACUACGUGCCAGCAGCCGCGGUAAUACGUAGGUGGCAAGCGUUGUCCGGAAUUAUUGGGCGUAAAGGGCUCGCAGGCGGUUUCUUAAGUUUGAUGUGAAAGCCCCCGGCUCAACCGGGGAGGGUCAUUGGAAACUGGGGAACUUGAGUGCAGAAGAGGAGAGUGGAAUUCCACGUGUAGCGGUGAAAUGCGUAGAGAUGUGGAGGAACACCAGUGGCGAAGGCGGCUUUCUGGUCCGUAACCCCUCUGAGGAGCGAAAUCUUGGGGAGCGAACCGGAUUAGAUACCCUGGUAGUCCACGCCGUAAACGAUUAGUGCUAAGGGGCCGGGCGUUUACGCCAUUUUG
This 518-nucleotide ribosomal RNA is filed under the name Bacillus subtilis. RNAcentral describes it as "bacterial SSU rRNA". It matches the Rfam family "Bacterial small subunit ribosomal RNA", at positions 335 to 842 of the family's 1533-position model. Lineage: Bacteria; Bacillati; Bacillota; Bacilli; Caryophanales; Bacillaceae. The record is from RNAcentral.